GAUGAACGCUGGCGGCGUGCCUAAUACAUGCAAGUCGAGCGAACGGACGAGAAGCUUGCUUUUCUGAUGUUAGCGGCGGACGGGUGAGUAACACGUGGAUAACCUACCUAUAAGACUGGGAUAACUUCGGGAAACCGGAGCUAAUACCGGAUAAUAUUUUGAACCGCAUGGUUCAAAAGUGAAAGACGGUCUUGCUGUCACUUAUAGAUGGAUCCGCGCUGCAUUAGCUAGUUGGUAAGGUAACGGCUUACCAAGGCAACGAUGCAUAGCCGACCUGAGAGGGUGAUCGGCCACACUGGAACUGAGACACGGUCCAGACUCCUACGGGAGGCAGCAGUAGGGAAUCUUCCGCAAUGGGCGAAAGCCUGACGGAGCAACGCCGCGUGAGUGAUGAAGGUCUUCGGAUCGUAAAACUCUGUUAUUAGGGAAGAACAUAUGUGUAAGUAACUGUGCACAUCUUGACGGUACCUAAUCAGAAAGCCACGGCUAACUACGUGCCAGCAGCCGCGGUAAUACGUAGGUGACAAGCGUUAUCCGGAAUUAUUGGGCGUAAAGCGCGCGUAGGCGGUUUUUUAAGUCUGAUGUGAAAGCCCACGGCUCAACCGUGGAGGGUCAUUGGAAACUGGAAAACUUGAGUGCAGAAGAGGAAAGUGGAAUUCCAUGUGUAGCGGUGAAAUGCGCAGAGAUGUGGAGGAACACCAGUGGCGAAGGCGACUUUCUGGUCUGUAACUGACGCUGAUGUGCGAAAGCGUGGGGAUCAAACAGGAUUAGAUACCCUGGUAGUCCACGCCGUAAACGAUGAGUGCUAAGUGUUAGGGGGUUUCCGCCCCUUAGUGCUGCAGCUAACGCAUUAAGCACUCCGCCUGGGGAGUACGACCGCAAGGUUGAAACUCAAAGGAAUUGACGGGGGCCCGCACAAGCGGUGGAGCAUGUGGUUUAAUUCGAAGCAACGCGAAGAACCUUACCAAAUCUUGACAUCCUUUGACAACUCUAGAGAUAGAGCCUUCCCCUUCGGGGGACAAAGUGACAGGUGGUGCAUGGUUGUCGUCAGCUCGUGUCGUGAGAUGUUGGGUUAAGUCCCGCAACGAGCGCAACCCUUAAGCUUAGUUGCCAUCAUUAAGUUGGGCACUCUAAGUUGACUGCCGGUGACAAACCGGAGGAAGGUGGGGAUGACGUCAAAUCAUCAUGCCCCUUAUGAUUUGGGCUACACACGUGCUACAAUGGACAAUACAAAGGGCAGCGAAACCGCGAGGUCAAGCAAAUCCCAUAAAGUUGUUCUCAGUUCGGAUUGUAGUCUGCAACUCGACUACAUGAAGCUGGAAUCGCUAGUAAUCGUAGAUCAGCAUGCUACGGUGAAUACGUUCCCGGGUCU
RNAcentral lists this ribosomal RNA (1372 nucleotides) under uncultured bacterium. RNAcentral describes it as "bacterial SSU rRNA". It matches the Rfam family "Bacterial small subunit ribosomal RNA", at positions 28 to 1381 of the family's 1533-position model. The record is from RNAcentral.